Molecule: ribosomal RNA, 1808 nt
Organism: Melipona quadrifasciata
Lineage: Eukaryota; Metazoa; Arthropoda; Insecta; Hymenoptera; Apidae
Rfam family: Eukaryotic small subunit ribosomal RNA
Source: Rfam
UCCCUGGUUGAUCCUGCCAGUAGUCAUAUGCUUGUCUCAAAGAUUAAGCCAUGCAUGUCUCAGUACAGGCUGAAUUAAAGUGAAACCGCGAAUGGCUCAUUAAAUCAGUUAUGGUUUCUUAGAUCGUACCCACAUUUACUUGGAUAACUGUGGUAAUUCUAGAGCUAAUACAUGCAAACGAAGUUCCUCUCAGAGAUGGGAGGAAUGCUUUUAUUAGAUCAAGACCAAUCGGUGGCGGAUGGCUCGCUGUCCGUCCAUCGUUUGCUUUGGUGACUCUGAAUAACUUUAUGCCGAUCGCAUGGUCAUCUAGCACCGGCGACGCAUCUUUCAAAUGUCUGCCUUAUCAACUGUCGAUGGUAGGUUCUGCGCCUACCAUGGUUGUAACGGGUAACGGGGAAUCAGGGUUCGAUUCCGGAGAGGGAGCCUGAGAAACAGCUACCACAUCCAAGGAAGGCAGCAGGCGCGCAAAUUACCCACUCCCGGCACGGGGAGGUAGUGACGAAAAAUAACGAUACGGGACUCAUCCGAGGCCCCGUAAUCGGAAUGAGUACACUUUAAAUCCUUUAACGAGGACCAAUUGGAGGGCAAGUCUGGUGCCAGCAGCCGCGGUAAUUCCAGCUCCAAUAGCGUAUAUUAAAGUUGUUGCGGUUAAAAAGCUCGUAGUUGAAUCUGUGUGUCACAGUGUCGGUUCACCGCUCGCGGUGUUUAACUGGCAUUAUGUGAUACGUCCUAUCGGUGGGCUUAGCUCCUUGUGGGCGGUCCAACUAAUCUCCCAUCGCGGUGCUCUUCACUGAGUGUCGAGGUGGGCCGAUACGUUUACUUUGAACAAAUUAGAGUGCUUAAAGCAGGCUACCUUCGCCUGAAUACUGUGUGCAUGGAAUAAUGGAAUAGGACCUCGGUUCUAUUUUGUUGGUUUUCGGAGCCCCGAGGUAAUGAUUAAUAGGGACAGAUGGGGGCAUUCGUAUUGCGACGUUAGAGGUGAAAUUCUUGGAUCGUCGCAAGACGGACAGAAGCGAAAGCAUUUGCCAAAAAUGUUUUCAUUAAUCAAGAACGAAAGUUAGAGGUUCGAAGGCGAUCAGAUACCGCCCUAGUUCUAACCAUAAACGAUGCCAGCCAGCGAUCCGCCGAAGUUCUUCAGAUGACUCGGCGGGCAGCUUCCGGGAAACCAAAGCUUUUGGGUUCCGGGAGAUGUAUGGUUGCAAAGCUCAAACUCAAAGGAAUUGACGGAAGGGUGGUGCAUGGCCGUUCUUAGUUGGUGGAGCGAUUUGUCUGGUUAAUUCCGAUAACGAACGAGACUCUGGCCUGCUAAAUAGGCGUAACUUAUGGUAUCUCGAAGGCCCCCGGCUUCGGUCGGUGGGUUUUUACUACCAACGUACAGACAAAUCUUCUCUGAGGAACAGGCGGCUUUAGCCGCACGAGAUUGAGCAAUAACAGGUCUGUGAUGCCCUUAGAUAUUCUGGGCCGCACGCGCGCUACACGGAAGUUAUCAGCGUGUUUUCCCUGGCCGAAAGUCCGGGGUAACCCGCUGAACCUCCUUCGUGUUAGGGAUUGUGUCUUGCAAUUAUUCCCCAUGAACGAGGAAUUCCAAGUAAGCGCGAAUCAUAAGCUCGCGUUGAAUACGUCCCUGCCCUUUCUACACACCGCCCGUCGCUACUACCGAUUGAAUGAUUUAGUGAGGUCUUCGGACUGGUCCGCGGCCAGUGCCUUGGCGUUGGCGAUGUUACCGGGAAGAUGACUAAACUUGAUCAUUUAGAGGAAAUAAUAGUCGUAACAAGGUUUCCGUAGGUGAGCCUGCGGAAGGAUCAUUA